RNAcentral lists this ribosomal RNA (301 nucleotides) under uncultured bacterium. Its description in RNAcentral is "partial 16S ribosomal RNA". It matches the Rfam family "Bacterial small subunit ribosomal RNA", at positions 509 to 809 of the family's 1533-position model. The record is from RNAcentral.
CAGUCGCCGCGGUAAUACGGAGGGAGCUAGCGUUGUUCGGAAUUACUGGGCGUAAAGCGCGCGUAGGCGGUUACUCAAGUCAGGGGUGAAAUCCCAGGGCUCAACCUUGGAACUGCCUUUGAUACUGUUAGUCUUGAGUUCGAGAGAGGUGAGUGGAACUGCGAGUGUAGAGGUGAAAUUCGUAGAUAUUCGCAAGAACACCAGUGGCGAAGGCGGCUCACUGGCUCGAAACUGACGCUGAGGCACGAAAGCGUGGGGAGCAAACAGGAUUAGAUACCCCAGUAGUCCCUGUCUCUUAUAA